UAUGGAAACUUACUAAGUGAUAACUUUCAAAUUCAGAGAAACCCUGGAAUUAAUAAAAAUGGGCAAUCCUGAGCCAAAUCACGUUUUCCGAAAACAAAGAAAGGUUCAGAAAGCGAAAAUAAAAAAGGAUAGGUGCAGAGACUCGAUGGAAGCUGUUCUAACGAAUGGAGUUGGUUGUCUUACGUUAGUGGAGGAAUCAUUCUAUCGAAACUUCAGAAAAGAUGAAGGAUAAACCUGUAUACAUAAUACAGAAGAAUUGCUGUGAAUCGAUUCCAUAUUGAAGAAAGAAUCGAAUAUUCAUUGAUCAAACCAUUCACCAUUCACUCCAUAAUCUGAUAGAUCUUUUGAAGAACUGAUUAAUCGGACGAGAAUAAAGAUAGAGUCCCGUUCUACAUGUCAAUACCGGCAACAAUGAAAUUUAUAGUAAGAGGAAAAUCCGUCGAUUUCAAAAAUCGUGAGGGUUCAAGUCCCUCUAUCCCCAAAAAGAGC
RNAcentral lists this non-coding RNA (489 nucleotides) under Gazania sp. Koekemoer and Funk 1929. Its description in RNAcentral is "partial tRNA-Leu". The stretch from base 1 to 406 matches the Rfam family "Group I catalytic intron", at positions 27 to 253 of the family's 253-position model. From Rfam's summary of the family: Group I catalytic introns are large self-splicing ribozymes. They catalyse their own excision from mRNA, tRNA and rRNA precursors in a wide range of organisms. The core secondary structure consists of 9 paired regions (P1-P9). Lineage: Eukaryota; Viridiplantae; Streptophyta; Magnoliopsida; Asterales; Asteraceae. The record is from RNAcentral.